Molecule: ribosomal RNA, 451 nt
Filed under: uncultured bacterium
Lineage: Bacteria
Description: bacterial SSU rRNA
Rfam family: Bacterial small subunit ribosomal RNA
Source: RNAcentral
UUCCAGACUCCUACGGGAGGCAGCAGUGGGGGAUAUUGCACAAUGGGGGAAACCCUGAUGCAGCGACGCCGCGUGGGCGAAGAAGUAUUUCGGUAUGUAAAGCCCUAUCAGCAGGGAAGAAGAAAUGACGGUACCUGAGUAAGAAGCACCGGCUAAAUACGUGCCAGCAGCCGCGGUAAUACGUAGGGGGCAAGCGUUAUCCGGAUUUACUGGGUGUAAAGGGAGCGUAGACGGUUAUGUAAGUCUGGAGUGAAAGCCCGGGGCCCAACCCCGGGACUGCUUUGGAAACUGUGUAACUGGAGUACAGGAGGGGCAGGCGGAAUUCCUGGUGUAGCGGUGAAAUGCGUAGAUAUCAGGAGGAACACCGGCGGCGAAGGCGGCCUGCUGGACUGAAACUGACGUUGAGGCUCGAAAGCGUGGAGAGCAAACAGGAUUAGAUACCCUAGUAACG